This 288-nucleotide ribosomal RNA is filed under the name uncultured Bacillariophyceae. Its description in RNAcentral is "partial 18S ribosomal RNA". It matches the Rfam family "Eukaryotic small subunit ribosomal RNA", at positions 598 to 888 of the family's 1831-position model. The record is from RNAcentral. Lineage: Eukaryota; Bacillariophyta; Bacillariophyceae.
CGUAUAUUAAAGUUGUUGCAGUUAAAAAGCUCGUAGUUGAAUUUGUGGUUGGAGCGACCGGCCCGACACAGUGUGUUGGUGCUCGGUUGUCUCCGUCCAUCCUUGGGUGGAAUCUGUGUGGCAUUAAGUUGUCGUGCAGGGGAUGCCCAUCUUUUACUGUGAAAAAAUUAGAGUGUUCAAAGCAGGCUUACGCCGUUGAAUAUAUUAGCAUGGAAUAAUGAGAUAGGACCUAGGUACUAUUUUGUUGGUUUGCGCACCGAGGUAAUGAUUAAUAGGGAUAGUUGGGGG